Felis catus (domestic cat) is the source of this 3455-nucleotide long non-coding RNA. RefSeq lists it as uncharacterized. NCBI's taxonomy places the organism in Eukaryota, Metazoa, Chordata, Mammalia, Carnivora, Felidae. The transcript is spliced from 2 exons. The record is from RefSeq and is a predicted model, not a curated record.
UUAAAAAGAGAGAGAAAGAAAGAAAGAAAGAAAGAAAGAAAGAAAGAAAGAAAGAAAGAAAAAAAAAUUUGAAAUGACCACUUUAAUCAAUUUCUUUUGAAUGUAAAGUAUCUUAGCUGGGUUUCUAAUUCACAGUGGGAAGCAAAAGCAAGCACACUAUGAUGAUGCCUUCCAUUAUGUAUGGUUGAUUGAUAGAAGACUAUUGUAAUCUUAAUCAGACAAACUGAUGACCAGAAUGGUUUUUCAGCGGAAUAUUGAAGAGCCUGACUUAUUUUUUUGCUAGCAUGAAAAUCCAACCUACCUAAAAGGGAACUGUGCUGGAAUGCCUUGGUUAGAGCUGAAGCUUUUUUCAAAAAAAGCAACUGUACUUAAAUAAGCACUUACUUGAAAUUAUAGAAUUACUCACCAUAACCUUGGAAGACUUUGGCCUGGAAUAUUUUGGGGGCCUGAUUUUAAUGUGGCUACUGGACCAUUUUUAAUAUUUAAUUGAAAAAAAUUGUGCAAUUUAGUAGGAGAAACUGGAGUAGGGUUUGAGAGGGUAGACAGCAGGCUGAAGAUGCUACAGCUUUGGGAAACAAGGGAGCUCCCCCCCUGUGAUAAUAUAUAAAUGACACAUUGGUUCCCUCCUAUAGCUUCUAUGUGGCUUCUUUUGCCUCACCACUCAGAGAAAAAUAUAAAGAAUUUAGAGGAAGGGAUGGGGUGAGGAGCACAGAAAUAGCAAUCUCAAUCUGUGACUAGUACAUUUACAAUUUUUCUUAGGAUUUUGCCUGCUCCCUAAUAUCACAGGAAGGUCACUUGACAGAGUCACUUUGAGAAGUUAAGACGGAUGAUACUGUGAACAACUAAGGGUGUUAAUCAACCACAGUUAUAGGGUUGCUUAUGAAUAGGUACUUCAGUGAUACUCAUUUAUUCAUUCAUUAUUUCACCUGUUGCUCAUUAGUCAGUCAACAUAUGUUAAAUGUGCUAGACAAUGGGGGCAUACUAGUGUACAAGGUAGACAUCGUCUUUGACCUCUUAAAAUUAUAUUCUUCUAAGGCAGAAGGAAAUAGAAGAAGAUGAAUGAAAAGGUUAUUCAGCUGGAUGAUAAUUUACUGCUAUCGUCUGCGUUCUGAACAUUAAUCAUUUUUUUCUGCAGUGCUUUUAGCAAAUCAAAAAUGGCAUCCGGUUCCUCUCUUGGUAAAUGAGAAAAGGAAUCUAAGGUGCUUGCCUUAGGUGUUUGCUGAUACUCAAGAACCUCUUCUAUGAAUAUAGCUAGAAUAUAAGAUCCAUUAGGAUAUGAGAUACAUGAGGACAAGGACUUUAUUUUGUUGACUACUUUUGCCCAGUUUGAAAAGUGUCUACCAUGUGGCAACACUUGAUAAAUUCUUGUUGAAUGACAGUGCAGAGCUUGAUAAAGUUAAGAAUUAAGGUAAGUUUCUUGUUACAGAAGCAAGUGAAAUGAGGAGAGGAAUAAUGGUGUUAACAUUUAGAUCCUAACUUGUUAGAACUUGAUAGUGUCAGAUCUUUAUAAAAAUAUUUUUUAUAAAAACUAUUUUUGGAAAAAUAACAUCAUAAACAAUGAAUGCUUGGCUCUUAUGAUACACUUAUCAUCUUAAAACAAAUAAAUUAUAGCCCCCCCCAAAACCAAUUCUAGCCAUGAUAAAGAACUUUUAUGAAUUCCUAUUUUGAAGGAGGUCAAGCAAGUUACACAAGUUUCUUCCGGCAGCAGGAUAGUUUACAGGAUUCAAAUUAUCUGAUAAUAGAUUCUUUACUUAAAAAGUUCUAUUAAAAAAUUCUAAAAGGGAGACAACUUUUAGAAGUUUUAUAGAGUUACACCAGAGUGAGCUCUGAGCUUCCCUGGAUAAAAUUCCUUACAUACUUUCCUCUCUAGAUGCAGAAUAGAUGGCUAGGGGAAAUGACUAUAUUCAAUGGAUUUUGUUUAUCAGAGACCAUAGAUUGUAGUUUAUGGGUCUUUUCAUCGAAGUUGUCAAUGUUCUGUGUAUAACACUGUUACAGCAGUUUCCUGAACAGUUCUUUACAAUUAAGUUGUCUUGAUCUCUGAGGGACUGCAGUUGGAAGAGCAGAGAAGGUAAUUUGGCUUUCGAUCACCACAGUUUUCCAAAUGGGUAAUUCUUAGAAUGGGAUUGUCAAUGAUUCUGGUUGACUUCAGUUAAUAUUAGAUUCUUCAUUAGGGUUGACAGGAUCUGCUUUGGGAACAGGGUAAGAAAGUCUAUGGGGAGACAAUGUGAAUAAAAAAGAAAUCCAAUAUUCUCUGUUUGGCAUAUGGAUGGUUUCCAAAACCUAUCCCUUUUAUGCCUUAUCCCUGUUAAAAGAUUAUAGUUAAUAAGCACUAAUAAGAAGGUAAGCAGUUUAAAAGGGUAGAAGUUGAUAUCAGCAAAAAAUUUACCAAAAUAUACCAAAAUGAUAAAAUAGUAAAAUAAUUGUUGUUGAUUGAGUGAAAAAGACCAAUAUAAUGAAUAUGAUCAGCUUCGAAAUCAUGAGAAAGAAUAAAAUGAUUAGCCCAAGCAGGUAGGGGCAAGUUUCCUGGGGCUAAGGUGGCUGCUUAACAGGUCUCUAGAGUCUAGGUUUGUCUGUCAGGGAUCAGCAUAGACAUUAACAACUAUAAUAAAGUUUGGGCUAAUGAGAAAACAGCGGCUUUAGUUGCUUUCCUUAGAGCUUUAAGCCUUAAGAACCAAUGCUUAGCUCAGCAGUGUCAAUAUGCCUUUUAAAAAGUAGCCAUUUGCACAAGUUGAAUCUGACAUUUUAUGUGUUUUAUAGCAGACCAUAAAUACUUUUAACUUUAUAAAUAAUAAAACUAUGAAUGGGAUAAAUACUCAAUAGCAUUAUUAAUGGGUUUUCAACCUAGGGACCAUGAGUGACAACUUGCCUAUAAAGCAGUUAUAUAUAGUUUUUGUUUAGUUUAAACUGUGGUUCUAUUUGUUUACACAUUAAGUUUGCCAACCUCAAAAUUAUAACAUUUUGAUUAUUUCCUCUUAAUUUAUGAAAAAAAUUGCUGAGCUUACAUUUAAGUCAACAUUACCUGGAAUCAGUAGAAUGGGAAUUACAUUUCUUCAUUCCUCUUUGGGAAUAUUUGCCACCUGGCACUGAUAUAAUGAAUUCAUAUACAAUUCAUAGAUUGGGGAUUGGACGAACUUAUGAAGCCCUUUAUUCAAUACUCUAUGAAGAAACUGAGGUCUGACAAGUGUGACCUGAAGCCAUUGCCUUGUGUAUUUUAAACCUUUCAAUUUGAAGUGGAUUAUGGGAGACAACUGGGAGCAUCCAGACUCAAGAGCUGUGUGGAGGGAUCUUUGCUGUGAUCCCUCUGACAACACAGGUAAUCACUCAUAAAGAAAACCACCUCACAAAUAGAACUCACCUUUUUGGCCUCAGUUGGAUAGCUGGAGUAAAAAUCUUUGUCUGGUACCACUGUAAAUGUUCCAACAAUAUGCCCAAAUAAAUCAUUUAAUUGAACAUGA